UUUUAACAUCUUUGACAAAUUUCUCAAAAUCAGAUUAUAAUUAAAGUCUUUUUAACCUAAAAUUGACUUUGGGAUUUUUCAGUUGGUUUCCUUAAAAGCCUCAAAGGAUGUAUUUCUCGUUAGGCUUAUUUGAUAUUUUAGAUUAUGUAAAAAGCACUGCCAAAUAAUAAAGUGAUACUAGAUCUUUUAAAACUUAUAUUUAAGUGGAUAUGUUAUUGAUGUGAAUAUUUAAACAUUAUAUGACAUUUAUAAAAGUCUAAUAGUUCUGAUGUGAUGCUGUCAAUUAUGAUUCUGGUUGUUAUCUUAAAAUGCAAUAGAAAUAACUGAAUUUCCUUGUCGAUUGCUGAACUUUAUCCAAUUUUAAUUAUUAUCAUUGUAAGUUAUUGUCAUCUACAGGUAGAUUUUUCUCUAAAGGCAUCUGCAAUCAGGUUAAUAAAAAAAGACUCUACUGAGUGCUCUUAAAUACAGGCUUCUAAUAACUUUUAAGAUCAGUGGACUAUAAAACUUUUAAAAACUCAAAUGAAAAACUGAUGGAUUCAUGAAACUUCUAAUCAAGAUUAAGCAGAACAAAAUUAUGUGAGAUUGAAUAACUGAUAAAAAUUAUGAUUUUUUUGAUAUUUGUUUGAAAUGUUGUUGGUUCUUUAUUUGAAACAUUGUUGAUUCUUAAAUGUUUUGCUUUCCAGACUAAAUACAACUUUCUGUUUUAAGUUACCCAUAGUUCACAGCAAUUUGGUGAAGUCUAGCAUUAUAAAUGAAGGUGAAAACAUUUUUUUUUCUUCCAACUUGAUCCUUCAAAAUUCAAAAACUAUUUGUGAAUUUUUAAUUUAUGAUGAUAUAGCUAUUUGCAUAAGUUCAUACAAAUCUGUUUUCUUUAUAACAAGAUGCAUCUAGAAAUGUCAAUUGUAUUACCAAGAUUUUAGUAACAUGUCAUGUUUAAAAUUGCAUAUAGGCAUUAUAGAUAAAAUCCAAAGUUUGCCUUGAGGCUCUCUAGCCUCAAAAAAGAAAAAAAGUUCAAGCCAAGAUUAAAUCACUAUUCUUGCUACACUUUUGUAAAUAAUCAGGCCAAAUCUGAUGAAACUAAAUUUAUUUUACAAGCAAAUUAUUCUUACUCCAAUUAUCUUUGGCAAAUAUAUCAGAAUGACUAUAAUAUCACCUGCCAUUGGACUGCAGCUCUGUGAAUUGUUUUUGAGUUCUUGUUAUCUACCUGUAGGCUGUACUAGAUCCUGAAUUCGAGUUCUCCUCAAUAUCUGGUUACAACCCUCCCACUAAGAAAAAGAACAAGAACUGUUGUCUUCCUGAGGCCCUAUAGGCUGAAACUGAAUGCACUUCAAGGGACAAAUCUUGUGCCUGAUGUUUGGACCGUACAGAGAGUUCACCAAACUGCCCAGUGCCAUAAUCAGAGACAUUUGCACAACAAUUUGCCAACUUCACGCUGUAGACAGCUUUUCCCAAGACAUCAGAGCAAGCCUCCAUAUUAUAAUGAGACUCCUACACUCUUACCUUUGUUGCUUGUCAGGAUUAUGCCGAAGGAAUGACACUCCAAAAAUAGUAAUGCUGGCCCAGCACUUCAAAUGAUAACUAACACUUACGGAACUGACAACAUGAAACUUAACAGUGGACUCCAGGUAGACUUAGCCUGACAGCCGCAUUCUCCAGACCUCCUUGGUUGCUCAAAUGUGGCUAAGAGGAUUUUGACACUAACUCCUCUUUGCCAAUCACUUCCCCUGACAUAGGACCAGACCAGCAACCAAGGACAGGUCUGUCCUGGCACAGCAGGACAAUCAAAACCUAACCACAGAAUAGUUGAUCUGCAAUACUUUCAGAGAAAGAUCUUCAUCAAAACGGGGAAAUGUAAAAGUUGUAAGACUCAAAAUGGAAUCACUUGUGUCAAACCCUGGCAAAUGGAGCUGGGGAGGGUAAGAACGGGGGUGAUAUGGUUUGGAUUUGUGUCCCCACUAAAUCUCAUGUUGGAUUGUAAUCCCUGGUUUUGGAGGUAGGGCCUGAUGGGAGGUGAUUGGAUCAUGGGGACAGUUUCUCAUGGUUUAACACCAUCCUUCUUGAGAUGUUGUCAUUGAGCUAGUGAGUUCUUGUGAGAUCUGGUUGUUUAAACGUGUGUAGCACCUCCCCCAACUCUCUCUUGAUCCUGCUCCAGCCGUGUAAGAUGUUCCUGCUUCCUCUGUCCCUUCCACCAUGAUUGUAAGCUUCCUGAGGCCUCCCCAGAAACAGAAGCCACUAUGCUUCCUGUACAGCCUGCAGAAAUGUGAGCCAAAGAGGUUUAAUUAAACCUCUUUUCUUUGUAAGUCACCCAGUCUCAGGUAUUCCUUUAUAGCAGUGUGAGGACAGACUAAUACAGGAGGGGCUCUCAUGCACUAUUUGCCUGAUAAUAGGAACUAUCACAAGAACUUUUUCCAAACCACAGCUUACUAGAUAAGUCACACAGCACAGCUAGCUGCUUACUCAUAAACAGUUGCCCAAUACACUGUCUCACAAACCCAGUGCAAAACUACAGGUGCCUAACUCUAAUUCCAAGAUUAGAAGUUGUAUCUAGCAGCUACUGACAUUUGCCAGUGAACACUCACCAGCUGUUGUAAAAUGCUGCCAGUGCCAUUGAACUUUCUUUUAAAAUAACUUGCAUAAGGUCAGGAGAUCGAGACUAUCCUGGCUAACACGGUGAAACCCCACCUCUACUAAACAAAAAAUUAGCCGGGCGUGGUGGCGGGUUCCUGUAGUCCCAGCUACUCCGGAGGCUGAGGCAGGAGAAUGGCGUGAACCCGGGAGGCGGAGCUUGCAGUGAGCCGCGAUCGCGCCACUGCACUCCAGCCUGGGCGACAGAGCGAGACUCCGUCUCAAAAAAAAAAAACAAAAAAACAAAAAAACUUGCAUAACCUCCUGUUUCUCCAGGACACCCUAACCUUUCCCUGUAUUCUUUGAACAUGCUGGAGGCCAUUCUGCUCUGCAUGUAUGCCCCAGAGUGCAAUCCUACUUCUUGCAUAUUAUUCCAAAUAAAACCUUUAAUCCAG
Molecule: long non-coding RNA, 3020 nt
Filed under: Homo sapiens (human)
Lineage: Eukaryota; Metazoa; Chordata; Mammalia; Primates; Hominidae
Description: HSALNT0324924
Source: RNAcentral